This 1939-nucleotide long non-coding RNA is filed under the name Nicotiana benthamiana. RNAcentral's name for it is "long non-coding RNA (NBEN_LNC012387)". The record is from RNAcentral. Lineage: Eukaryota; Viridiplantae; Streptophyta; Magnoliopsida; Solanales; Solanaceae.
GAAAACAGUGUGGGCAUUGAGCCCAAAUAAUGGGAAACAACGAAAUUCUUGUUGAGGAAAACGAAGGUAAUAGCUUCAACAAGUAAUGAAAUCCCUAGUCUGGGAUCGAAUCCCCAUCCCAACUUGAAUAAAGAUCGAGCCUAAUUAAAGAUGGUGAAGACGCACGACUAACAAGACCUGGCAAUGUAUUUUCUCAACAAAUUAAUCAAGGAUCAUGACAUGAUUCAGGAGCAUUAUUUGGACUAAUAUACUAAUUACAUGAUGAAUUUAUUCUUCAGUAGGUGAACUUCAAACCACUCUAUCAAUUCAAUUCAUCCAAAUAGUCCUAGUCAGGUUAGUUAUUACAAAUGAUCUCUGAAAUCAAUAAUUCAUACAAAAAAAUAAUAUCGAACGAGUAAAGUAGCACUGAUGCAAAAUCACGAGUGCUAAGCAUUCAUUUCAGUUGACUACUUCCACACGAUGACACCAAUUGACUGAACUUGGGUUCCUACUAUUUCAUUUCAAAUCGAGACUACAUCAGAAAUGUUCAAGAGUAUACCUGGGAAAGAUGAAACAAUGAAGAGAAGAAAAAUCAGCAGCAGAUAGCAGAAUCAAUUGAACCACAUCAAUAAAUUCUGCCCGGAAAAUGGAUCAAUAGACCAGGUAACAAACAGAAGGAGAAUUUGACCAAAAUAGCACUAAUCCCAAACACGAACUCAGAUGACAUCCAUAACAUCAGCAGGCAUCAAAAGAGGAACCUAAUUAAACUAACGACUGAUUGAAACAAUUAACAUUUGAGAAAAAGAAAAUCAAAAUCACAUCAUAAUUUAAAUAAAGAAAUGACAAUCAACCCUAAACGAAUUAACCUAAACACUUAUGACAAUCAUAAAGACAAUUUGGUGCUAAACUCGACUUGAAACUAGAACUAUGCUCAGAACAGUGAGUCGAACCAGGAACUAAAGAAACGAAAGAGAGAAAUCUUACCAAAAAUUAGUCUUCAAACCAACUGCUUUUGGAAUCAAGCUUUAAUUAAUCUUAUAAGUUUACCUUUGUCAAGGUAAUCUCAUAACAUUAAUCAAAAACCAUCCGAAUAAAACGAAUUAACCUAAACACUUAUGACAAUCAUAAAGAUAAAUUGGUGCUAAACUCGACUUAAAACUUGAACUAUGCUCAAUAGAACAGUGAGUCGAACCAAGAACUAAAGAAAUGAAAGAGAGAAAUCUUACCGAAAAUUAGUCUUCAAACCAACCGCUUUUGGAAUCGAGCUUUAAUUAAUGUUAUAAAUUUACCUUUGUCAAGGUAAUCUCAUAACAUUAAUCAAAAACCAUCCGAAUUCCUUAAGUUUCAAAACAAGUCGUCAUUCUAAAACCUUAGAUCCGAUAUUCGAGCCUAACCAGGAUGAUUCGAGAAGCACGGCUUGGGUAUUUGGGACGAGAAGGUUAAGGCGGGUCUAUGGCGUAAAUUUGGGGUCAUUUGGCAUAGGUGACGAACUGGCCGGAAAACUUCAAACGAAGAUUCGAACAACCUGGUUGUGAUUCGAAGGAAGCCAGUUUGAUAUUUGGAAUUGAGGAAUAGAAGGAGAAUCUGGGGUGUGAUUUUGGGAUGGAUUGGCCAUGGCGGCGACGGCUCCGACGAGGUGUGAAACGGUACGAGGAAGAUGAGAGGAUGUCUCUAGGGUUCUGAUUCUAUUCAGACACUUUUAACUGAUUUGGGGGUGAGCUAUGGGCCGUUAGAUCAAGUUAUAUCGACGGCUGAGAUUGAUUAGUUCAAGACGGCGUCGUUCUGGUAAAAUGGGGGUUGGGUCGGGCAUGUGGACAGGUAUGGGCUGCAACAGGCGGGUCCGAUUGGCUUUGAGUGAAAUUGUUUGGGCUUGGAUGCUGGUGUGUUUUUGGGCUCAGCUCUACUUCAAACAUAACAGGCCAAUUUCUUUUCCUUUGUUAUAAAAACUCUUGUGUUUUUC